CCUACGGGGCGCACCAGUGGGGAAUAUUGCACAAUGGGCGCAAGCCUGAUGCAGCCAUGCCGCGUGUAUGAAGAAGGCCUUCGGGUUGUAAAGUACUUUCAGCGGGGAGGAAGGUGUUGAGGUUAAUAACCUCAGCAAUUGACGUUACCCGCAGAUUGAAGCACCGGCUAACUCCGUGCCAGCAGCCGCGGUAAUACGGAGGGUGCAAGCGUUAAUCGGAAUUACUGGGCGUAAAGCGCACGCAGGCGGUCUGUCAAGUCGGAUGUGAAAUCCCCGGGCUCAACCUGGGAACUGCAUUCGAAACUGGCAGGCUAGAGUCUUGUAGAGGGGGGUAGAAUUCCAGGUGUAGCGGUGAACUGCGUAGAGAUCUGGAGGAAUACCGGUGGCGAAGGCGGCCCCCUGGGCAAAGACUGACGCUCAGGUGCGAAAGCGUGGGGAGCAAACAGGAUUAGAUACCCGAGUAGUC
This 466-nucleotide ribosomal RNA is filed under the name uncultured bacterium. RNAcentral's name for it is "bacterial SSU rRNA". It matches the Rfam family "Bacterial small subunit ribosomal RNA", at positions 338 to 795 of the family's 1533-position model. The record is from RNAcentral.